RNAcentral lists this ribosomal RNA (253 nucleotides) under uncultured bacterium. RNAcentral's name for it is "partial 16S ribosomal RNA". It matches the Rfam family "Bacterial small subunit ribosomal RNA", at positions 524 to 776 of the family's 1533-position model. The record is from RNAcentral.
UACGUAGGGUGCAAGCGUUAAUCGGAAUUACUGGGCGUAAAGCGCGCGCAGGCGGUUCUUUAAGUCAGAUGUGAAAUCCCCGGGCUCAACCUGGGAACUGCAUUUGUGACUGUAGAGCUGGAGUGCGGCAGAGGGGGAUGGAAUUCCGCGUGUAGCAGUGAAAUGCGUAGAUAUGCGGAGGAACACCGAUGGCGAAGGCAAUCCCCUGGGCCUGCACUGACGCUCAUGCACGAAAGCGUGGGGAGCAAACAGG